Molecule: small RNA, 552 nt
Filed under: Pongo abelii (Sumatran orangutan)
Lineage: Eukaryota; Metazoa; Chordata; Mammalia; Primates; Hominidae
Description: retained intron
Source: RNAcentral
CUUGGCUCUCGCCCUCCGGCCGGGAAGCAUGGGGCUUCCCAGGCUGGUCUGCGCCUUCUUGCUCGCCGCCUGCUGCUGCUGUCCUCGCGUCGCGGGUGUGCCCGGAGAGGCUGAGCAGCCUGCGCCUGAGCUGGUGGAGGUUGAAGUGGGCAGCACAGCCCUUCUGAAGUGCGGCCUCUCCCAGUCCCAAGGCGACCUCAGCCAUGUCGACUGGUUUUCUGUCCACAAGGAGAAGCGGACGCUCAUCUUCCGUGUGCGGCAGGGCCAGGGCCAGAGCGAACGUGGGGAGUACGAGCAGCGGCUCAGCCUCCAGGACAGAGGGGCUACUCUGGCCCUGACUCAAGUCACCCCCCACGACGAGCGCAUCUUCUUGUGCCAGGGCAAGCGCCCUCGGUCCCAGGAGUACCGCAUCCAGCUCCGCGUCUACAAAGCUCCGGAGGAGCCAAACAUCCAGGUCAACGCCCUGGGCAUCCCUGUGAACAGUAAGGAGCCUGAGGAGGUGAGAUGUGUGGCAGGUGGGCUGGGCAGCUGGUGCGCAGCCGCUGAGAUAGG